This 253-nucleotide ribosomal RNA is filed under the name uncultured bacterium. RNAcentral describes it as "partial 16S ribosomal RNA". It matches the Rfam family "Bacterial small subunit ribosomal RNA", at positions 524 to 776 of the family's 1533-position model. The record is from RNAcentral.
UACAGAGGUCUCAAGCGUUGUUCGGAUUCAUUGGGCGUAAAGGGUGCGUAGGCGGCGCGGUAAGUCGGGUGUGAAAUCUCGGGGCUUAACUCCGAAACUGCAUUCGAUACUGCCGUGCUUGAGGACUGGAGAGGAGACUGGAAUUUACGGUGUAGCGGUGAAAUGCGUAGAUAUCGUAAGGAAGACCAGUGGCGAAGGCGGGUCUCUGGACAGUUCCUGACGCUGAGGCGCGAAAGCGUGGGGAGCAAACGGG